GAUGAACGCUAGCGGGAGGCCUAACACAUGCAAGUCGAGCGGGAUUCACUUUCGGGUGAUGAGAGCGGCGCACGGGUGCGUAACGCGUAUGCAACCUACCUCUAACAGUGGGAUAGCCCGUUGAAAGACGGAUUAAUACCGCAUAGUAUUAUUGAAUGGCAUCGUUUAAUAAUUAAAGCUCCGGCGGUUAGAGAUGGGCAUGCGUGACAUUAGUUAGUUGGUGAGGUAACGGCUCACCAAGACUACGAUGUCUAGGGGUUCUGAGAGGAUGAUCCCCCACACUGGUACUGAGACACGGACCAGACUCCUACGGGAGGCAGCAGUGAGGAAUAUUGGUCAAUGGGCGCAAGCCUGAACCAGCCAUCCCGCGUGAAGGAAGAAUGUCCUAUGGAUUGUAAACUUCUUUUGUG
RNAcentral lists this ribosomal RNA (410 nucleotides) under uncultured bacterium. RNAcentral's name for it is "bacterial SSU rRNA". It matches the Rfam family "Bacterial small subunit ribosomal RNA", at positions 28 to 440 of the family's 1533-position model. The record is from RNAcentral.